This 2785-nucleotide long non-coding RNA is filed under the name Lynx pardinus (Iberian lynx). Lineage: Eukaryota; Metazoa; Chordata; Mammalia; Carnivora; Felidae. The record is from RNAcentral.
ACAUUUUGUUCAUGGACAUGAGAUGGAAAAACAAGAUGAAAAUGAUUCUUUUAUUGAGUAUUCAAUUUAAAAACGUCACGGCUUUGCCAUUAGUUUGUAUAAAUCCUAGAGAUGAGUUUUAAACGAGAGUGUGUUAUUAUGUUGAGGAAAGCUGGAAGUGUAUAACCUUGGGCAGAUCAUUUAACAUCUCUCUGCUUUACAUUUACAGGCAGUAAUACAAAGAGACAGGAUUAUAUGAUCUCCAAGGUCCCAUCCAGCCGAUUGAACGCACUCUGAUUAUUUGAAAGGCCAUUUGGUGUGGUAGUGAGGAUCCUGGGCUCUAGAACCAGACAGCCUACAUUUAAAUCCUGCUUCACUCCACUUAGUAGCCACAAUAUAUGACAUAGGGUUUAUUGUAACCCUACAAGCCUCAGUUUCCUCACUGGUGAAAUGAACAUAAAACACUCAUAGGAUCCUUUUGUGUAUUAAACAUACUCAGCUUUGUAAACUGUUAGCAUUGGAUUUAACACAAAAUCAAUAAACAGUAGUGUGAACAAUUGCCAUUUAUUUUAUAUUGUAAAUUAAAUUUUUUUUCCUUUAACAACAAAAAAUAACUUUCCUCAGAAUUUGGGAUGGUAUGAUUUUUCAUGGUUUAAACUCUUUAAUCUACUUAACACCUACGCUAUGUUUUGAAGCAUAAAAAAUAAUUCAAAGCAUUAAUUUCAUUUAUUUAAUCCCAAAUAAUUGGUUUGAUUGUUUUCACUCUCUUUCAUCCCCUACCUUAGUAGGAUAAGAUUCAAGACCUACCUAAAUUCAAGACCUACCUAAAAAGCUGCUUUGGAGACUUAGAAAUUUCUGAUAUGCUAGGGUGCCAUCACAUGGGUCACCAAUAAUGAGAGAAUGAAUAAUAUUUCUCCAAAUCACAGUCUGAACAAUAACUUAUUAUAAUAUAGACAAACAGAAAUAUUUUUGAGAUCUAUGUUUUUGAAUAAAAAGUUUGAAGAAAACUCGUUAAUGAAUUAUGCUCUGAUGCAUCUUUCUAAUACCCUUAUAAGUGUUCAAAUUCUCUUUACAUGUAUGAAGGCACUGAGACUCAGGAAGGUUAAGGAGUUUGCCUAAGGCCACACAGAAGUGACAACACCAAAAUUUAAGCUCAGUCUGACUUUAGCAUCUGAGCUCUUAAUUAGACUGAUUUUAGCACAAAGGUCCUCUGUUCGUUCAGCCUUCUGCCUUCUGUUUUACACAAAGUCUAUGGUCUCUCCAGAUACUAAGCUGCCUCAUUAUAUCUAUCUAUCUAUCUAUCUACCCAUACAAUCACCUGUCUAUCUAUCCACCCACCCAUCCAUCCACCAAAGCAUGUUUUUGUCUAUUAAAAUAAGACUGGUAGGAUUUGAACUCUUCAUUCAUGGCCAAUGAAUAAAGUUUCUCAGAUAUAGUUUUAAGUAUAAUACACCAAAUUUAAAAUUAGGUCACUACAAGUAGUCAAAGAUUAAGGUAAAAGAGAUAUUCAUUUCCUUCCCCUUCCACCUUCCUCCUCAUCCCUCCAUGGGAAAAAAAAAAAAAAGUCACUAAUAUGUUGCACAUUGUAGGAAGAAAAAUGACUUUACCUAUUUUUUUGUUCUCUUUUCUUUUUACUAGUCCCUAUAUUUGUAGGCCUCACAUGGAAAAUUAAUUUCUGCUUUAUUCUUGUAAGCUUAGUUUUAUCUUCCUAAAUAUAUCCUUCUUAUCAGAAGCCAAUCAAACAUUUUGCUCUCCCCUGUUUAUAAGUUGUCCUACUUUAUGUUUCUGAUUCUGUUUAUCUCUGAUGCUUUUUUCUUCUUUUUCAUAGGCAUUGUGGUGCUGGAGAUUUGGAGGCACCCCUAGGCAGCCUCUUAACUUUCUGAACCUCAGGCCAGUCAACCUAAUUCAUGUGAGCCCUGAAGAGGAGACAGGGAAGGUGGCACAGCCAGCCAGCCAGAGGACUUCACUAGUCCAUUUCUCACUGGGUAGAGCAUGGAUGGGCAGGUAGACACAUCUGCAGUUAAGUUUUCAGGGCCACCCCACUUCAAGGCCUUUGGGGAUAAGCACAUUGGAAGCUUGGCCAAUGUUUUGAUCCAUUUGUGCUGCUAUGUCAAAAAUACCAUAAACUGGGUGGCUUAUAAAAACAGUUAAUUUAUUUCUCACCGUUCUGGAGAACUCCAAGAUCAUGGCACGGGUGUCUGGAGGUGCCCACUUCCUCACAGAUAGCGGUCUCUGACAUCACAAGGAGAAGGGGUGAGCUGGCAUUCUGAGUUCUUUUUUACGUGGACACUGAUCAUGCAGUCUCCACUCUCAUGACCUAGCCACCUCCCAAAGGCCCUACGUCCUACUACCAUCACCUUGGAGGUUAGGUUUCAACAUACGAUUUAGGGAGGAAACAAACAUUCAGACCAUGGCGGUAUCAUUUGCCAACUUUGAGUCUCUGUCUUCUCUAAUGACCCCUAAUUUCUCCAUUGUUUUCUUUUUCAAGAGUCAAUCUCACUCCACAUCUAUGUUUUCUCACCAGUGUCAAGUUUAUCAGUUUGGACAAGAUAUUAUUAUGCUGUAGUAAUAAACAACUUCAACAUUUCAGUGGCUUAAAAUGACAAAGGUCUAUUUAUUACUCAUGUUUCGUUUCACCCAAAGACCCAGGAAGCAGUCACCUACUUGAACGUUGCUGGUUACUAUUCCAGAAAAAGGAAAGAACUUGGCAGAAUUUUGUAUUGGCAAUCAAAUACUCAGCCACUGGUCAAGGCACUGAACUAGACAUGAGUUUCCCCAACCUCAAGUACAGUCCAAUAACACAGCA